CAGUGGGGAAUAUUGCACAAUGGGGGAAACCCUGAUGCAGCCAUGCCGCGUGUGUUGAAGAAGGCCUUCGGGUUGUAAAGCACUUUCAGUAGGGAGGAAGGUAGUGUAGUUAACACCUGCAUUAUUUGACGUUACCUACAGAAGAAGCACCGGCUAACUCCGUGCCAGCAGCCGCGGUAAUACGGAGGGUGCGAGCGUUAAUCGGAAUUACUGGGCGUAAAGCGCAUGCAGGCGGCCUGUUAAGUCAGAUGUGAAAGCCCGGGGCUUAACCUCGGAAUUGCAUUUGAAACUGGCAGGCUAGAGUCUUGUAGAGGGGGUAGAAUUUCAGGUGUAGCGGUGAAAAUGCGUAGAGAUCUGAAGGAAUACCAGUGGCGAAGGCGGCCCCCUGGACAAAGACUGACGCUCAGAUGCGAAAGCGUGGGGAGCAAACAGGAUUAGAUACCCUGGUAG
This 450-nucleotide ribosomal RNA is filed under the name uncultured bacterium. RNAcentral's name for it is "bacterial SSU rRNA". It matches the Rfam family "Bacterial small subunit ribosomal RNA", at positions 352 to 793 of the family's 1533-position model. The record is from RNAcentral.